This 506-nucleotide ribosomal RNA is filed under the name uncultured organism. RNAcentral describes it as "SSU rRNA". It matches the Rfam family "Bacterial small subunit ribosomal RNA", at positions 505 to 1009 of the family's 1533-position model. The record is from RNAcentral.
GUGCCAGCAGCCGCGGUAAUACGUAGGGUGCGAGCGUUGUCCGGAAUUACUGGGCGUAAAGAGCUCGUAGGUGGUUUGUCGCGUUGUUCGUGAAAACUCACAGCUUAACUGUGGGCGUGCGGGCGAUACGGGCAGACUAGAGUACUGCAGGGGAGACUGGAAUUCCUGGUGUAGCGGUGGAAUGCGCAGAUAUCAGGAGGAACACCGGUGGCGAAGGCGGGUCUCUGGGCAGUAACUGACGCUGAGGAGCGAAAGCGUGGGGAGCGAACAGGAUUAGAUACCCUGGUAGUCCACGCCGUAAACGGUGGGUACUAGGUGUGGGUUCCUUCCUUGGGAUCCGUGCCGUAGCUAACGCAUUAAGUACCCCGCCUGGGGAGUACGGCCGCAAGGCUAAAACUCAAAGGAAUUGACGGGGGCCCGCACAAGCGGCGGAGCAUGUGGAUUAAUUCGAUGCAACGCGAAGAACCUUACCUGGGUUUGACAUGCACAGGACGCCGGCNAGAGAU